RNAcentral lists this unclassified non-coding RNA (282 nucleotides) under Hevea brasiliensis (rubber tree). Lineage: Eukaryota; Viridiplantae; Streptophyta; Magnoliopsida; Malpighiales; Euphorbiaceae. The record is from RNAcentral.
GGGAAGGCUUCAUUCCCGAGUGGACGAGAAGAAGGAGCAACCCCUAUUCAGGGAAGAGAAUGUAUUUGACUAGACUAGCUACCGAGCUGACUCACGGAAGCUUGAAAGAAAGGGCUGAAAGACAGCUUCGGCAACAGAAACUCGAGCGGAGGAAUACGGAAGAGAAGCGGAUUCAAUCUUAGCCUAAGAGCAGUUCAGAGAAGAGAAUAAAAAGUCAACGGCCAAUGACCCCUGAUUCCUCUUAAACCGACCGAUAUGCCGAGAUGACAUCCAGCACGAGAG